Coniochaeta sp. 2T2.1 is the source of this 110-nucleotide non-coding RNA. NCBI's taxonomy places the organism in Eukaryota, Fungi, Ascomycota, Sordariomycetes, Coniochaetales, Coniochaetaceae. The record is from the annotation of a GenBank genome assembly.
CCUUCCGUAGUAUAGUGGUGAGUAUAUGAGCUUGUCAAUAUAUCCCGUCUUGCCGGCUGGAGCAUUUAAGAUAUUCGCUCGAGACCCGGGUUCAAUUCCCGCCGGGAGAG